Gorilla gorilla gorilla (western lowland gorilla) is the source of this 727-nucleotide long non-coding RNA. RefSeq lists it as uncharacterized. The record is from RefSeq and is a predicted model, not a curated record. NCBI's taxonomy places the organism in Eukaryota, Metazoa, Chordata, Mammalia, Primates, Hominidae. The transcript has 3 exons.
AGGUCUGCCUCCACCCCAAGAGGACCUCGUGGACGUGGUGCCCCAGGUUCCACCAUCCCCAGGAGAAGAGUGCCACGCUUGGACUCGUUUUUGCUGUUUCUGGGACAGUGGUGCCAUUCCCCUCCCGUGACUGACUCCUGCGUGCAGUCCCUAAUCUGCCCAUCACCCCCGGGGCACUGUCCACGGCACUCUGUUGGUUUCCUCCACACUGUCUAACACAACCUGAAACAACCUCAUCUGCCCACCACGUCUCAUCUGUGCCUCCCUGCCUGGAACGGAGCUGCAGGAAGGCAGCGAUGUUUGUCUGGAGUGUCCAGCCCCUGGUUGUGGGUUCCCUGUUCGCUGGUGCAGGUCUAUGAGGAGGAAACACACAGAAACCAAAAGAUGGAAUCAGGCUGUCUCGGGCUACUUCCUUCCGCCACAGCUCUGCCUGGAGUGCCAGCCCCAGCACAGGUGAAUACACAGAACCAGCGCCUCCCUCCUGGAGCUUUCUUGGGGAGACCAGUGAGGGUGAACAAGGAAGUGGAUAGAGAACUCCCCGCAGCGUAAGUGCAGUGGGGACAUUUGUGGCAGGGAGUGCCUGGGGAGGGUGGUCGGGGAAGGCUGCCCCAAGGAGGUAUCAUCUGAGCAAGACCCAAAAUUGUAAGAAGUAGCACGCGGCGCUCCCAGGGAAGAGCAUGCCGGGCUGGAGGCCCUGCGGAGGGGACAAGCUCAGCAGCUUGGAGGA